GUCUUUAUAUGAACAAUAAAGUUAUCUUAUGGUUUAAGUGCAUAUUUUAUUUUCUGUAAAGUGUAGAUCACAAAACAUCCAAAAUGAUUUUCUAUCAAUUCGUAUGCUUAAUUUUAUCAAUAUUUGCGACUUUAGCCAGCUCGAUUGGUUCAGAGUCCGGUUCCUUAUUAUCGGCCUGUUCGAAGUUUGAUUUUGAAGAAAAGGUGCUGGAAAAACUUGUGCGCUUGGAACAUAAAAUGGAAGUAUACACUGAAAAGAUGAACCUAUGGGAAGAAUAUUUUUCUUCUAGCAUUGAAAAUAAAAUGAAAGUGUAUGCGGAUAAGAUGAAGCUAUGGGAAGAAUCUAUUUCUUCCAGUCUGGAUAAAGUGGUCGAGCAGAAGAAAAAAACAGAAACAUUUGUUGAAUCACAUCUUCAGGACCAAACGCGGUUUAAAGAGUCUUUCCUUGAAACAAUAGACAAUUUUAAACUGCAGUCUGAAAAUAAAACUGAGAUGUACGAACGAAAAAUUAACACGCUGUUGGAUUCGUUUUCUUCUAAAAUACAAGAAUUAAGUGAAGCUGAACGUAAAAUAGAGAAUACAAUGCAGGCAUCUCUUCACCAAGAACAGAACAGAUUUAAUGCGUCGUUUGAUAAAAUUGUGGAACUUUCAAAUCGUUUCAAUACCUCUUUGCAAGAAAUUGCUUUAAAAGAGAAGAAAGGUAGAGUUCUUUGUUACAGUAAAUUUCAUAAAUUUUACACUUACUUACAUGCUAAUUUGCUAUUUUUUUUACACUUACAGCUUAGUUUUCUUAAACCUUAAGCCCAAAUAGUAAGCAUCUAUAUUUCUUGUUUGAAUUGUUUUACAUGUGUCAUUUCCGGGCUUUUAGCUGACUAUGUGGUAUUGGUUUUGCUCAUUGUUGAAGGCCGUACUGUUACCUACAGUUGUUAACUUCUAUGUCAUCUAGUUUCUGGUAAAGAGUUGUAUCGUUGGCAAUCAUACCACAUCUAUUUAUUUGUAUAUCUAUGAAAAGUUGUAGGCUUCAUCAAUUGUUUUAAUUGUCACGUAAGUUGCUACAGAGAGUAAUCAAAGUACUGAAGUGACCGCAAGUUCUGGUGGAUGGUCUCAGAAAAUAAAAUCAUAUCUCUAUGUACUUGAAAGUAAAUAGGUUUAGGUAUAUAAUUUUUUUUUCUGAGACAAGUUCCUGUGUUGAUGAUGAACAAAUUGCAUGGAAUUCAACCUCACCGUCGUAGUGAUACAAGUGUGGACACGGAUCAGUGUGGAUAGUAUGUUUGGAUGUUUUGCUUUUCUCAUCACUUGGCGUACGUCGUCCGUCGUUGUCUGUCGUCGUCAUCGCCAAUUAACUUUUAGAAAAAUCUUCUCCUCCGAAACUACUGGGUAAAAUGAAACCAAACUUGACCUAAAUCAUCCUUUAUAGGGUAUCUAGUUUUAAAAAUGUAUCCGAUGACGCCGCCCAUCAACCAAGAUGGCCGUCAAGGCUAAAAAUAGAACAUGGGGGUAAAUUGCAGUUUUGGGCUUAUAGCUCUGAAACUGAAGCAUUUGGCGCAAAUCUGCCAUGAGGGUAAAAUGUUCAUCAGAACAAGAUCUAACUGCACUGAAAUUUUCAGACGCAGACAACCUGUUGUUGGGUUGCUGCCCCUAAAUUGCUAAUUUUAAGGAAAUUUUGCAGUUUUUGGUUAUUGUGACGUCUUGAAUAUUAUAAUAGAUAUAGAUAAACUGUACACAGCAAAAUUGAUCAGCAAAGUAAGAUCUACAAAUAAGUCAAACAUGACCAAAAUGGCCAAUUGACCCCACCAAGAGUUAUUGCCCUUUAAAAUCAACUUUUCACACCUUUUCUUAAUUUUUUGUAAGUUUUUACAAAAAUCUUCUCCUCUAAAACUACUGGGCCAAAUGAAACCAAACUUGGUCCAAAUCAACUAAGGGUAUCUAGUUUAAAAAAUGUAUCCAUACUCAAUAGUGUUUAAUAAAUCUGUCUUUAUGCACGAGACUUUAUGCAUUACCCCUUUCAAAACUUCAUUCUCUGUUUAAUUUAUGUUUGGAAACCACUGUUAUAAACCCUCAUGCAAACCAAUACAAACUUACAGCUAUAAUUUCGGAUGUUGCAAGUCACAGACUUUCCAAACCAGUCCGCACUGGAAAAGAUGAUAAAGAGAAAAGAUUUGUUCUUAAUCUUUCCUUUGCAAACAUUUAGGUCUCGAUGGCGUCAACUUAGGCAAUAUCCUUCAUUAUAAAUUAGUUCAAUCGAAAAUACCUCCUUUUUCAAAGAUCAGUCUGUACCAAUCAUUUCUUAUAUCUAUACCAAACCUAUUGCAACUUAAAUUUUCAAUUACAAACACGUUUUGCAGGAUCUCAAUAUUGACGACUUCAAGUCUUUACCUCCCGAUUGCACUUGUGCUAGUUCUCAAUUCACAUAUAAUCUGACUGGCCACGUUAUUACCGGUGACCUCAACAUUGUAAAUAACACUUCCCUGCGAAAUGUGUUAUCGAAAGGUCCGAAAUAUCGUGAGCCUUACUCCAUCAAUUGGAAAUAAAACUUCAAAAUUUUGAUGAAUCAGUCGAAGAUUAUGCCAGGCAAUUGGCUAAGCGCGAGAAGGAACACGUAGACACUCUUUCCGAAUGAAUUAAGGCGGCGAGGUCGUUGAUAGAAAUCAGAAUCAAGAAACUGAAUGGGUCUAUCAAUGCCCAUGCUACGUCAAUCUUUAAAGACCCAAAGAUUGCAAAACAUUUAUCCUACCUACAAAUAUGUUGUUGUCCCCGCAGAUAAAGCCCAAAACAACAUCGUUUUUGUGUGUAAAACUCAUUCCAUUAACUGCUUGAUCAACAAAUUAGGUAUUGACACUUUGCAUGGAAACUCAACAUAUACCCUCACGACACUUACCAAAGAGGAAAUCCGGGAUAAUCAUAGGUCUGUUCUAUGUUCCUUUGGAAUUUCAACCAAAGGUGAAGAACUGGAUCUUCCAUCACUGUAUUGGAUACCUACAUAAGAGUCCUUACAAACAACGGUAUAUUGCUGGGUCUUCCAAGUGCUCCACGAUCUUUCUAAGUUAUUAAGAUCUAUUUUAUCAGCAAUCAAAGACGGGCUUCAAAGUUAUUGUGAAACUGCCUAUUCUAGAGGUGGCGUGAAUCAGAUGUGGAUACUUAAAAAUUCCAAAAAUCUUUUAGAGUACAUACAAUCUAACUCUCUUUCAUCUUGCAAUAUAGUAUUAAAACUUUUGACUUUUCUACACUUUACACAAGUAUUCCACAUUCCAAACUAAAAUACAAAUUGAAAGAGUUGGUAUUGCUUUGUUUCAUAAAAAAGAAUGACCAACGUAGAUACAAGUAUCUUGUCGUAGGGAGACAGGGAUAAAUCCUAUUUUGUAAAGCAUUAUUCUGAUUCAAACAAAAAAAUUCUCUGAAACUGACAUUAUCAAGAUGCUUGAUUUUUUGAUUGACAACAUAUUUGUUAUGUCGGAGGACGUGGUUUUCAACUGACUGUCUGCAUUCCAAUGGGAACCAAUUGUGACCCUCUUUUUGCCGACUUGUUUCUUUAUUAUUAUGAGGCUGACUUCAUACAGGAACUUCUUAGGAAGAUAGAUAAGAAGUUAGCAAUAUCCUUUAACUCUACAAUCCGCUAUAUAGUUGACGUUCUUUCACUAGAUAAUUAAAAAUUUGGUGACUAUGUUGAAUGCAUCUAUCCCAUCGAACUAGAGAUAAAGGAUGCAACAGAUACAGUUAAGUCGGCCUCAUAUCUUGAUUUACAUCUAGAAAUUGACAAUGAGUGUCGGUUGAAAACAAAACUUUACGACAAAAAAGAGAUGAUUUCAGCUUUCCAAUUGUGAACUUUUCAUUUCUAAGUAGCAACAUUCCAACAGCACCUGCAUACGGGGUAUAUAUCUCCCAAUUGAUGCGAUAUUUCAGUGCUUUCAUUUCCUAUUAUGAUUUUCUUGAUAGAGGGUUGUUGCUCACAAGGAAGCUAUUAAACCAAGAGCCCCAAAUGGUGAAGUUGAAAUCAUCCCUUCGUAAAUUUUGCGAACGCCAUCACGAGUUGGUUGACCGUUAUGGAAUAACCGUUUCACAAAUGAUAUCGGAUAGGUUCCUUACGUCGUAACUACAAUCCCCUUCCCUUUCCUGAAUGUGACCUACCGAAUUAGAUUAAUUACCGGAUUUGUUAUAACAAAAGCAACACGACGGGUGCCACAUGUGGAACAGGAUCUGAUUACCCUUCUGGAGCACCUGAUAUCACCCCUAGUUUUUGGUGGGGUUCGUGUUGCUUAUUCUUUAGUUUUCUAUGGUGUGUCAUGUGUUCUGUUGUUUUCUGUUUGUCUUAUUUCAUUUUUAGCCAGACGUUGUCAGUUUAUUUUCGAUUUAUAAGUUUGACUGUCCCUCUGGUAUCUUUCGUCCCUCUUCUAACUCAUUUUGACAACAAAAUCUAAUUGUUAAAAAAUGACAUUUUCAUUGCAGAUAAACAGAUUAGACCUGCAUUCUUCUCAACAUUGUCGAAAAGUGCUGUUUUAUCCAACUCUAACAAAGUGUUGAUAUUUGAUGGAGUAAAGGUCAAUAGAGGUGGAGGCUACAACCCAUCUACAGGGAUCUUCACUGGAUUGUAUCAUUUCAGUUGUGUGAUUUAUGGGGACAAUGGAAAAGACGUCGGUUAUCAACUCAACAAGAACGACUCAUUGUAUGUAAGCGGAUAUUCAAACAACGGACCACACGAAGCAAGUAGUAUUAGUGUAUUGGUUGAAUUAAAGAAAGGCGAUCGUGUUUAUAUUAAGCAUAGACACCUCGGCCAGACAGAGGCAGUUAUUGGAAAUGAUCAUUCAUCAUUUGCCGGCUAUUUUUUGCAAGAUUGAGAUAAUAAAAAUAAAAAUAGAAUUUUAGUUGUGUCAUUCUAGUGAACACCAGCCUGUGUUUAUUUGAACCCUUU
Molecule: long non-coding RNA, 4905 nt
Filed under: Mytilus galloprovincialis (Mediterranean mussel)
Lineage: Eukaryota; Metazoa; Mollusca; Bivalvia; Mytilida; Mytilidae
Source: RNAcentral